AGUGAACGCUGGCGGUAGGCCUAACACAUGCAAGUCGAACGGCAGCACAGUAAGAGCUUGCUCUUACGGGUGGCGAGUGGCGGACGGGUGAGGAAUACAUCGGAAUCUACUUUUUCGUGGGGGAUAACGUAGGGAAACUUACGCUAAUACCGCAUACGACCUACGGGUGAAAGCAGGGGAUCUUCGGACCUUGCGCGAUUGAAUGAGCCGAUGUCGGAUUAGCUAGUUGGCGGGGUAAAGGCCCACCAAGGCGACGAUCCGUAGCUGGUCUGAGAGGAUGAUCAGCCACACUGGAACGGAGACACGGUCCAGACUCCUACGGGAGGCAGCAGUGGGGAAUAUUGGACAAUGGGCGCAAGCCUGAUCCAGCCAUACCGCGUAGGUGAAGAAGGCCUUCGGGUUGUAAAGCCCUUUUGUUGGGAAAGAAAAGCAGCAGGUUAAUACCCCGCUGUUCUGACGGUACCCAAAGAAUAAGCACCGGCUAACUUCGUG
This 492-nucleotide ribosomal RNA is filed under the name uncultured bacterium. Its description in RNAcentral is "partial 16S ribosomal RNA". It matches the Rfam family "Bacterial small subunit ribosomal RNA", at positions 29 to 507 of the family's 1533-position model. The record is from RNAcentral.